CAGUAGCCGCGGUAAUACGAAGGGUGCAAGCGUUAAUCGGAAUUACUGGGCGUAAAGCGUGCGUAGGCGGUUUGUUAAGUCUGCUGUGGGAUCCCCGGGCUCAACCUGGGAAUGGCAGUGGAUACUGGCAAGCUAGAGUGUGUCAGAGGAUGGUGGAAUUCCCGGUGUAGCGGUGAAAUGCGUAGAGAUCGGGAGGAACAUCAGUGGCGAAGGCGGCCAUCUGGGACAACACUGACGCUGAGGCACGAAAGCGUGGGGAGCAAACAGGAUUAGAUACCCCCGUAGUCCCUGUCUCUUAUAC
This 301-nucleotide ribosomal RNA is filed under the name uncultured bacterium. RNAcentral's name for it is "partial 16S ribosomal RNA". It matches the Rfam family "Bacterial small subunit ribosomal RNA", at positions 509 to 807 of the family's 1533-position model. The record is from RNAcentral.